This 1119-nucleotide small RNA is filed under the name Pongo abelii (Sumatran orangutan). RNAcentral describes it as "retained intron". Lineage: Eukaryota; Metazoa; Chordata; Mammalia; Primates; Hominidae. The record is from RNAcentral.
UGCCGCGCAGUUAGGCAGCAGCAGUGGAGCAGUAGCCGCCUUGGGAGGGAGCCAUGAAGCACUACGAGGUGGAGAUUCUGGAUGCAAAGACAAGGGAGAAGCUGUGUUUCUUGGACAAGGUGGAGCCCCACGCCACCAUUGCGGAGAUCAAGAACCUCUUCACCAAGACCCAUCCACAGUGGUACCCCGCCCGCCAGUCCCUCCGCCUGGACCCCAAGGGCAAGUCCCUGAAGGAUGAGGAUGUUCUGCAGAAGCUGCCCGUGGGCACCACGGCCACACUCUACUUCCGGGACCUGGGGGCCCAGAUCAGCUGGGUGACGGUGAGUCCUGACCCUACCCACGGCCUCUUUUCCCGUCAGCCACAUUGGGUGACUCAUCUUGCCCCCCUCUACCCUCAGGUCUUCCUAACAGAGUACGCAGGGCCCCUUUUCAUCUACCUGCUCUUCUACUUCCGAGUGCCCUUCAUCUAUGGCCAUAAAUAUGACUUCACGUCCAGUCGGCACACAGUGGUGCACCUCGCCUGCAUCUGCCACUCGUUCCACUACGUCAAGCGCCUGCUGGAGACGCUCUUCGUGCACCGCUUCUCCCAUGGCACCAUGCCUUUGCGCAACAUCUUCAAGAACUGCACCUACUACUGGGGCUUCGCCGCGUGGAUGGCCUAUUACAUCAAUCACCCUCUCUACACGCCCCCUAGUAAGUGGCCUCAGACCGUCCUUCCUUCCCCCACGGUCCCCACCCAGCGGGUACUCCCCUCAUGGGCCUCCCCUCCCUGCUUCCUCUUCAGCCUACGGAGCUCAGCAGGUGAAACUGGCGCUCGCCAUCUUUGUGGUAAGGAGGCUGGGUGUGGGGACGGGGUCGGGGGAGUCUGGGCGGCCCUAGGCUGAUCCUGCUUCUCUGACAGAUCUGCCAGCUCGGCAACUUCUCCAUCCACAUGGCCCUGCGGGACCUGCGGCCCGCUGGUGAGUGCCUGCUGGGGGCAGGGGGACAGCUGGGCUGGGUGAGGGGGUCUGACUUUCUCCUUCUGUCCUGCCUGCCAGGGUCCAAGACCCGGAAGAUCCCAUACCCCACCAAGAACCCCUUCACGUGGCUCUUCCUGCUGGUGUCCUGCCCCAACUAUAC